Molecule: ribosomal RNA, 253 nt
Filed under: uncultured bacterium
Lineage: Bacteria
Description: partial 16S ribosomal RNA
Rfam family: Bacterial small subunit ribosomal RNA
Source: RNAcentral
UACGUAGGGUGCGAGCGUUGUCCGGAAUUACUGGGCGUAAAGAGCUCGUAGGUGGUUUGUCGCGUUGUUCGUGAAAUUCCCUGGCUUAACUGGGGGCGUGCGGGCGAUACGGGCAGACUGGAGUACUGCAGGGGAGACUGGAAUUCCUGGUGUAGCGGUGGAAUGCGCAGAUAUCAGGAGGAACACCGGUGGCGAAGGCGGGUCUCUGGGCAGUAACUGACGCUGAGGGGCGAAAGCGUGGGGAGCGAACAGG